This 389-nucleotide ribosomal RNA is filed under the name uncultured bacterium. RNAcentral's name for it is "bacterial SSU rRNA". It matches the Rfam family "Bacterial small subunit ribosomal RNA", at positions 28 to 417 of the family's 1533-position model. The record is from RNAcentral.
GACGAACGCUGGCGGCGUGCUUAACACAUGCAAGUCGAGCGGUAAGGCCCUUUCGGGGGUACGACGAGCGGCGAACGGGUGAGUAACACGUGGGUGACCUGCCCUCAGCUCUGGGAUAAGCCUGGGAAACCGGGUCUAAUACUGGAUACGACUCCAUGACGCAUGUUGUGGGGUGGAAAGCCUUGUGCGGCUGAGGAUGGGCCCGCGGCCUAUCAGCUUGUUGGUGGGGUGANGGCCUACCAAGGCGACGACGGGUAGCCGGCCUGAGAGGGCGACCGGCCACACUGGGACUGAGACACGGCCCAGACUCCUACGGGAGGCAGCAGUGGGGAAUCUUGCGCAAUGGGCGAAAGCCUGACGCAGCGACGCCGCGUGAGGGAUGACGGCCU